RNAcentral lists this transfer RNA (72 nucleotides) under Amycolatopsis sp. DG1A-15b. RNAcentral's name for it is "tRNA-Glu". The stretch from base 6 to 61 matches the Rfam family "tRNA", at positions 9 to 63 of the family's 71-position model. From Rfam's summary of the family: Transfer RNA (tRNA) molecules are approximately 80 nucleotides in length. Their secondary structure includes four short double-helical elements and three loops (D, anti-codon, and T loops). Lineage: Bacteria; Bacillati; Actinomycetota; Actinomycetes; Pseudonocardiales; Pseudonocardiaceae. The record is from RNAcentral.
CGAUGGGACUGCUGGCUAGGUCAUCGCCCUUUCAAGGCGAAGAACCAGGUUCGACUCCUGGCGCCUCGACCA